Molecule: long non-coding RNA, 919 nt
Filed under: Volvox carteri
Lineage: Eukaryota; Viridiplantae; Chlorophyta; Chlorophyceae; Chlamydomonadales; Volvocaceae
Description: long non-coding RNA (VCAR_LNC001966)
Source: RNAcentral
CGGGGUAAACCUUCCGGACCAAGGGCACUCUGUAUGGGUGUUUCCUUUUUGCGAAAGCGUAACCUCCUGACGCUGGGUGCUUCCCUUAAGUGCACCGGGCGCUUCGGCGGGCAUUAAACUUAGCCCCUGGCAAUGUCCCGCAGUGACAACGAACUACGCUGAGCGCACCGCAAAGCAGUUACCCCACUGCCGCGUCGCCCUCCUCUCAGAGCCGGUUCGCCUCCCUUUCCCCAGAAAGACAUGCGCCAUUGCCUGCUCGCCGCGCCCCGUUUAGGAGGCUCUCCGUAGACUAAUCAUGACCCGGGGAUGCUAAUCAAGCCAUGUCAAACCUCAGCGGCUGCACAGUUCGUUCGCGCUAACUUGACUCGACCGAGGUCCGCAUCGUCCUCCUCGGGGUAGUUUUUUAUAGCGUCUUCUUCAUCGCCUUCGUCAUAUUCUUCAAAUUCGUUCUCUUCCAGGCCUUCUCUUGCUCUGCCGCGCCACUCGUCACGCUCUGCCAGACGGAUGUGCCAGUAACGCUGGGUCGUCUGCUUUCCUUCGUUAUGAAAAAGGGGUCCUAAAUUUGACGUGAGGAACUCCUACUUACGUCGAAAUCCCAACAGACGACGUUGCGCAAAUUGAAUGCGCUUGCUUGCACGGUUCUUGCGUUGUCUGAAGUUAGCGCUCAGCUAUUGUUUGUGACGAACACCGUAUUCGUCCCUGUCCUCGGCCAGCUCUGGGCUGCGACUUCCUGCGCCGUACUUGCCGCACCGCGAGCAUUAAUCAAGCAGGGGUCAAGCGGCUGCACCGGGGCCGAGCCCCUUUCCAGCUUUAGAAAGCCGGCCCCCUAGUCUCUAUUAUCAAAUAACACCGUGCCAAGGCCCCCAACGCAGCGCCUCGGUUUUCGACGUACCUUCCGGAUUACUAAGUCCGAGCAUGC